UUACGGUCACAUCACGCCGAAACACCUCUUCUCGUACGAUCACGGAAGUUAAGACAUGUCGAGCGAGGGCAAUAUCUAGAUGGCUGACCACCCCGAAAUUGAAGGUGUUGUAAU
This is a non-coding RNA of Acanthosepion pharaonis, 114 nucleotides long. The record is from the annotation of a GenBank genome assembly. NCBI's taxonomy places the organism in Eukaryota, Metazoa, Mollusca, Cephalopoda, Sepiida, Sepiidae.